GAGUUGCGAACGGGUGAGUAACGCGUAGGUAACCUGCCUGGUAGCGGGGGAUAACUAUUGGAAACGAUAGCUAAUACCGCAUAAAAGUCAAUAUCGCAUGAUAUUGAUUUGAAAGGGGCAAAUGCUCCACUACAAGAUGGACCUGCGUUGUAUUAGCUAGUAGGUGAGGUAACGGCUCACCUAGGCGACGAUACAUAGCCGACCUGAGAGGGUGAUCGGCCACACUGGGACUGAGACACGGCCCAGACUCC
RNAcentral lists this ribosomal RNA (251 nucleotides) under uncultured Streptococcus sp. RNAcentral's name for it is "partial 16S ribosomal RNA". It matches the Rfam family "Bacterial small subunit ribosomal RNA", at positions 93 to 339 of the family's 1533-position model. Lineage: Bacteria; Bacillati; Bacillota; Bacilli; Lactobacillales; Streptococcaceae. The record is from RNAcentral.